GUCAAAGCCUAACGGCUGAACCAGCAACUUGGAGGAAUGUAUAGCGAUAGCUAAUUGUAUCCAGACAUAAUGGAUACAAUAUUGACUUUGUCAAAUAAAAUUCUAGGCAGAAUUAUGAUAAUGACAUUGUCUGCCUAUGUGUCUUGACCAAAUUACGUGCCAGCAGUCGCGGUAAUACGUAGAAGACUAGUGUUAUUCAUCUUUAAUAGGUUUAAAGGGUACCUAGACGGUAAAUCAAGCCUAAAAAGGGGGACUAAUUUACUAGAGUUACUUGUGAGGGGGCACUAAAGUACUGAUGGUGUAGAGAUAAAAUUCUGUAAUACCUUUUUCGUAAAGAAAACAAUGGCACAGGUAUAGGCGAAAGCAUCCCCUUAUGUGAUAACUGACGUUGAAGGACGAAGGCUUUGUGUAGCGAACAGGAUUAGAUACCCUAGUAGUCGAAGCAGAAAAUGAUGAAUGUCAUAGAUUAGACAUCUAAGUUUAUUCUAUAAAUGAAAGUGUAAGCAUUCCACCUCAAGAGUAAUUUGGCAACAUUGGAACUGAAAUCAUUAGACCGUUUCUGAAACCAGUAGUGAAGUAUGUUGUUUAAUUUGAUGAUCCGCAAAAAACCUUACCACAACUUGAAUAUUUAUAUCUAUCUCUUUUCAUUAAUCUAUUUUUAUCUUUUUUUUAAUAAAAAAGAUAGAAUCUUUUAAAGAAAAGACUAAUGAUAUUUUUACAAGCGUUGCACGGCUGUCUUCAGUUAAUGUCGCGAGACUUUGGUUAGUUCCAUUAAAUUAACGCAAACCCUUACUUUAUUUUUACAUAAAGUAGUUCCCCACUAUAUUGGAUAAGAUAACAGGGACUAAGACAAGUCAUCAUGGCCUUAAUGUUGUGGGCUAUAGACGUGCCACAUAAACCUUACAAAAGGAUGUGAAAUUGUGAAAUUGAAC
Molecule: ribosomal RNA, 932 nt
Filed under: Lecanora orosthea
Lineage: Eukaryota; Fungi; Ascomycota; Lecanoromycetes; Lecanorales; Lecanoraceae
Description: SSU rRNA
Rfam family: Bacterial small subunit ribosomal RNA
Source: RNAcentral